Molecule: ribosomal RNA, 447 nt
Filed under: uncultured bacterium
Lineage: Bacteria
Description: partial 16S ribosomal RNA
Rfam family: Bacterial small subunit ribosomal RNA
Source: RNAcentral
UCCAGACUCCUACGGGAGGCAGCAGUGGGGAAUAUUGCACAAUGGGGGAAACCCUGAUGCAGCGACGCCGCGUGAGUGAAGAAGUAUUUCGGUAUGUAAAGCUCUCUCAGCAGGAAAGAAAAUGACGGUACCUGACUAAGAAGCCCCGGCUAACUACGUGCCAGCAGCCGCGGUAAUACGUAGGGGGCAAGCGUUAUCCGGAUUUACUGGGUGUAAAGGGAGCGUAGACGGUGAAGCAAGUCUGAAGUGAAAGGCGGGGGCUCAACCCCCGGACUGCUUUGGAAACUGUUUGACUGGAGUGCAGGAGAGGUAAGUGGAAUUCCUAGUGUAGCGGUGAAAUGCGUAGAUAUUAGGAGGAACACCAGUGGCGAAGGCGGCUUACUGGACUGUAACUGACGUUGAGGCCCGAAAGCGUGGGGAGCAAACAGGAUUAGAUACCCUGGUACU